RNAcentral lists this long non-coding RNA (911 nucleotides) under Ananas comosus (pineapple). RNAcentral's name for it is "long non-coding RNA (ACOM_LNC009628)". The record is from RNAcentral. Lineage: Eukaryota; Viridiplantae; Streptophyta; Magnoliopsida; Poales; Bromeliaceae.
UAUAUAUAAAACUCAAGAGUGGGCUGGUUUGCUUCUGGAAGCACGGAGCCCUCCGUGCUUUCAAGUUGUUUUCGAUGUUCGGACUUUUGAAUCGACGAUCGGCUCCGUUAGAGUUGAUCUAGAGUAUUUGAAGUACCUAGAAAAUAAAUUUUGUGAUUUUUCGAUAUCAUUUGCCUAGUGAUCGAAGGGGCUCAAAAUCAAUAAUUUUAAUGACCGUGGUGAGCCGUUUGCAAGUUUAACGGUGUAGAAAUAUUCAAAUCAUAUGAAAUUUUGAUAGAAGAUUCUUUAUACCAUAUAAAACAAGAUUAAUAACUUUGAUCUAAAAUUUUAAUGUCAUAUCAUCAUAUUUUGUAAGAUUUUUAUUUUCAGCCGCUGAUUUUUGUGAAACAACCGUUGUACUCUAAAAGCUUAAGCUGUUAGAGAACGAUUUUUAAACAUUUUUAUAUUUAACGCUCCCCCUCACGUCUGGGCUCGAGACUUUUUUUUAAUCGGCCCAUGACGUGAGUUUGAAUUAAAUGGGAGGAAAUUAAUAUGCUAGGAGCCUAGCGUGGCUCGAACUCAGGACCUCCUGCUCUGAUACCAUGUGAAACAACCGUUGUACGUACUCUAAAAGGUUAAGCUGUUAGAGAACGAUGUUUAAACAUUUUUAUAUUAAACAAUUUUGAGCCACUUCAAUCACUAGGCAAAUGAUAUCGAAAAAUAGCAAAAUUUAUUUUCUAAAUACUUCAAAUACUCUAGAUCAAAUCUAACGGAGCCGAUCGUCGAUUCGAAAGUCCGAACAUCGAAAACAACUUGGAAGCACGGAGCGCUCCGUGCUUCCAGAAGCAUACCAGACGCACUCUCUAACUCAAUAUAUUAAACCCUAAUUUGAUCCUCUUUUAACUAACUCAACCAAAAAUCAGUUCCCUUUU